CUGGCAGCCAGCUGCCCCUGACACUCUAGGGAGCACACACUCAACAGAGACUUCUGGAAGUCAAUAUGAUGGGAAGAAUAGGGAUUCUCUGGUCAGUAAGCCCUGUGGUCAGCACAGUUCAAAGGACAAAAGACUCGAAUCUCAACUCUAAACAGGAUAACCUUGGACACUAGAGACCACACUCCACCCUGAAGACUGUGAGCCCCUCAUAAACCCUCUGCUGUCUUGCCUCCUCCAUAUCGGCUGGGAAGCAAAGGUAGGGACAGGAUUAGAACCCUACCUAGUUUGGGGCUUUUCUUCCCAAACAUUCCCAGAGAACAGAAGACUAGGCAGCAUGAAGAAAACCCAAGACUUCAUUUUUUUUUUCUUUUCCUUAAUGGCACUGGAGAUGGUUCACGGGGCUUGUAUGUUAGGCGAGCCUCUUACCACUGAGCAAAGCAUCAUUCUUGAGACUGUUUCUAAAGGGUCUGAUCUAGGGGAGUGGACACAAAUCCCUGGAGACAGUAAUCCAAGGACAGAUUUCUUUUUUUUUUUUUUUUUUGGGUCUUUUUUUUCGGAGCUGGGGACCAAACCCAGGGCCUUGCGCUUCCUAGGUAAGCGCUCUACCACUGAGCUAAAUCCCCAGCCCCUCAAGGACAGAUUUCUUAAGUGUGAGAGGAGACUACUUUUAUGUCACCAGCUCUUAGGCUCUUCCUCAUAGCCAGGACAUUCUGGUACAGAAUAGGUAGGAUCCAGAGUUAAGUUCCAGGACCCUGGACACAUCUGGUGCCAGCUUUUCUAUCCACUACUUUCCCCAA
Molecule: long non-coding RNA, 797 nt
Filed under: Rattus norvegicus (Norway rat)
Lineage: Eukaryota; Metazoa; Chordata; Mammalia; Rodentia; Muridae
Description: long non-coding RNA NONRATT017906
Source: RNAcentral